RNAcentral lists this ribosomal RNA (500 nucleotides) under uncultured bacterium. RNAcentral describes it as "partial 16S ribosomal RNA". It matches the Rfam family "Bacterial small subunit ribosomal RNA", at positions 30 to 523 of the family's 1533-position model. The record is from RNAcentral.
AUUGAACGCUGGCGGCAUGCCUUACACAUGCAAGUCGAACGGCAGCACGGGAGCAAUCCUGGUGGCGAGUGGCGAACGGGUGAGUAAAGUAUCGGAACGUGCCCAGUCGUGGGGGAUAACGUAGCGAAAGUUACGCUAAUACCGCAUACGAUCUAUGGAUGAAAGCGGGGGAUCGCAAGACCUCGCGCGAUUGGAGCGGCCGAUAUCAGAUUAGGUAGUUGGUGGGGUAAAGGUUCACCAAGCCGACGAUCUGUAGCUGGUCUGAAAGGACGACCAGCCACACUGGGACUGAGACACGGCCCAGACUCCCACGGGAGGCAGCAGUGGGGAAUUUUGGACAAUGGGCGAAAGCCUGAUCCAGCCAUGCCGCGUGCAGGAUGAAGGCCUUCGGGUUGUAAACUGCUUUUGUACGGAACGAAAAGGUUUGGGCUAAUAAGCUGAGCUCAUGACGGUACCGUAAGAAUAAGCACCGGCUAACUACGUGCCAGCAGCCGCCGUAA